Phyllopteryx taeniolatus (common seadragon) is the source of this 2054-nucleotide long non-coding RNA. RefSeq lists it as uncharacterized. The record is from RefSeq and is a predicted model, not a curated record. The transcript is spliced from 3 exons. NCBI's taxonomy places the organism in Eukaryota, Metazoa, Chordata, Actinopteri, Syngnathiformes, Syngnathidae.
GGUGGCGUCGGUGCCGCCGCACGCGCCGCACUUGUCUAUGACCUUCCCGGAGCCCAGGAAUCCAUCGCAGCCUGGACUCUGUGAGGGGGACCAAGAGAGGAACAUUAGAUGGCUAGUUCAUGCUAAAGAGUAAACAGCUGAAAAGUGCAUCAGCAACUGUGGCUCUCCUUUCCCAUCUGUAAGGCAUUGCGGGUCGCGGGCGUGCUGGAGCCUAUCCCAUCUAUCUCCGGGCGAGAGGCGGGGUACACCCUGAACUGGUCGCCAGCCAAUCACAGGGCACAUACAAACAAACAACCAUUCACACUCACAUCCUCACACCUACGGGCAAUUUAGAGUCUUCAAUUAACCUACCAUCCAUGUUUUUGGGAUGUGGGCGGAAACCGGACUGCCCGGAGAAAACCCACGCAGGCACGGGGAGAACAUGCAAACUCCACACAGGCGGGGCGGAAAUUUGAACCCUGGUCCUCAGAACUGAGAGGCGGAUGUGCUAACCAGUCACCACCGUGCUCCCGUGUCACAUUUUUAAUAAAGAAAAAUAACACUAUAUUUUAUAAAAACUGGUUUGAUUACCAAUAGAUGGCUCAAAACUCUGAAAAAACUACCAGGCUACAGCACUGUCCUAGAUCAAGGUCCCAAUGCAGUCGAUAUUUCACGAUGCAGCAAUAAUAAACAUAUUCAUACAGUAUACUCAUGACUUGACUGAUUCACCAUUUUCUUUUCUUGCAAGCCAAAAGCUAAGAGCUGAUGUGUUGUUGGAUGCACAUAUUAGCGUGCUUGCUAACUCGUUCAGGAGUCUCCUCUCGCUCUAGUUCCAACACACAGUACAUACAUAAACUCACAAAAAUUGGAGGAUAAACCUAAAAUGCACUAUAACCUUUAAUGGUGACCUUAAUUUGACCUUCUUCAAACUUUUGAAUGCACAGAUCAAACUGUUCAGUGUUUCAGUACUUUUUGCACAACUUCCUCUCUAACAAGGCGCUGAACAGCAAAAUUCACAACAGCUGAUUCCAUCUGUAAAAUCUAUUUCCAUGCCUUUCUGUGACUCCUCCUUUCUCUCUGGAUCACCUGCUGGUGAUACUGUGACACUCUAAACUCAGUGGCCACUCCCUUCUGAGAACAUCCGGCUUGAGGCCUCGCAAUAGCGAGGUACUGUUCAUCAUUUAUUAGGUGUCUCAUGAUAACAAAAUGUAAACACCAUGAAUGAGAGGACUGUUGAAAUUCCAAUUCUAAUUGAAUCAGGAACUGUAUUCGUCCAUUCAUGGAUCAAACACCUGUUGUGAAUUUUGCCAUUAAGCUCCCUGUUAGAGAACAGUAAGUUGUACAAAAAGUAUUCAAAUAUGUAACUGUGGGACUUGUGCAUUCAAACGUUUUUUUAUGUUCACCUUAAAUUUCACACAAAAAUAUAUAUAUCACCAAUAUCCCAAACUUUCUGUUAGUAAAGUAUAUUGAUAUAAAAAUAUAUAGCAUACAUAGCAUCUAAAUAGCAUUAGCAUCAUUAUUUAAACUUUUGACAAAAAGGCCUUUUUUAUUUUAGCAAUUCUACAAUUUUUCUCGUAAUAUUUCCACUUUUAUCUUGUUAUGUGACUUUCCUCAUCAAAUUAAGUCUUUAAUAUUGGAAUAUUUUCCCCUAAUUUUCAUAUUAUGAUAACCAGUUUCUUCAAAACAAUAAUUUCACUCUCACAACCAUACAUUUUUAUCCUCAAAUUACAAACAUUCCCAUACGCUCCAACUACCAACAAACUUCAGAUUUAUGACCGGGGGUGGACCCUCUGACCCUCUGACCCUUGCAUUAACGACCUCAGGCACUUCACAUGGUCUAUCAAGUCGCGCUGAGCUAAAACCAGCUCCAACACAGGCAGUGGCAGGUUAAUUCCAGCUAGAGCCACCAUCACCAUCUCUACGCCUUCAGAAUCUCUAUGAGAGAGAAGACCUCGUAGUAGGGUCCGAGUUGGCACCAAGACAGAAAACUUUCACUGGCGCUACCCUGGCGUCCAAUUAAUCCAAACCAACUGCAACAUCCCAACAAAGUCUUCUAGUUCUUACAGUGUUCCAGC